RNAcentral lists this ribosomal RNA (2901 nucleotides) under Shigella flexneri. Its description in RNAcentral is "23S ribosomal RNA". It matches the Rfam family "Bacterial large subunit ribosomal RNA". Lineage: Bacteria; Pseudomonadati; Pseudomonadota; Gammaproteobacteria; Enterobacterales; Enterobacteriaceae. The record is from RNAcentral.
GGUUAAGCGACUAAGCGUACACGGUGGAUGCCCCGGCAGUCAGAGGCGAUGAAGGACGUGCUAAUCUGCGAUAAGCGUCGGUAAGGUGAUAUGAACCGUUAUAACCGGCGAUUUCCGAAUGGGGAAACCCAGUGUGAUUCGUCACACUAUCAUUAACUGAAUCCAUAGGUUAAUGAGGCGAACCGGGGAACUGAAACAUCUAAGUACCCCGAGGAAAAGAAAUCAACCGAGAUUCCCCCAGUAGCGGCGAGCGAACGGGGAGCAGCCCAGAGCCUGAAUCAGUGUGUGUGUUAGUGGAAGCGUCUGGAAAGGCGUGCGAUACAGGGUGACAGCCCCGUACACAAAAAUGCACAUACUGUGAGCUCGAUGAGUAGGGCGGGACACGUGGUAUCCUGUCUGAAUAUGGGGGGACCAUCCUCCAAGGCUAAAUACUCCUGACUGACCGAUAGUGAACCAGUACCGUGAGGGAAAGGCGAAAAGAACCCCGGCGAGGGGAGUGAAAAAGAACCUGAAACCGUGUACGUACAAGCAGUGGGAGCACGCUUAGGCGUGUGACUGCGUACCUUUUGUAUAAUGGGUCAGCGACUUAUAUUCUGUAGCAAGGUUAACCGAAUAGGGGAGCCGAAGGGAAACCGAGUCUUAACUGGGCGUUAAGUUGCAGGGUAUAGACCCGAAACCCGGUGAUCUAGCCAUGGGCAGGUUGAAGGUUGGGUAACACUAACUGGAGGACCGAACCGACUAAUGUUGAAAAAUUAGCGGAUGACUUGUGGCUGGGGGUGAAAGGCCAAUCAAACCGGGAGAUAGCUGGUUCUCCCCGAAAGCUAUUUAGGUAGCGCCUCGUGAAUUCAUCUCCGGGGGUAGAGCACUGUUUCGGCAAGGGGGUCAUCCCGACUUACCAACCCGAUGCAAACUGCGAAUACCGGAGAAUGUUAUCACGGGAGACACACGGCGGGUGCUAACGUCCGUCGUGAAGAGGGAAACAACCCAGACCGCCAGCUAAGGUCCCAAAGUCAUGGUUAAGUGGGAAACGAUGUGGGAAGGCCCAGACAGCCAGGAUGUUGGCUUAGAAGCAGCCAUCAUUUAAAGAAAGCGUAAUAGCUCACUGGUCGAGUCGGCCUGCGCGGAAGAUGUAACGGGGCUAAACCAUGCACCGAAGCUGCGGCAGCGACGCUUAUGCGUUGUUGGGUAGGGGAGCGUUCUGUAAGCCUGUGAAGGUGUGCUGUGAGGUAUGCUGGAGGUAUCAGAAGUGCGAAUGCUGACAUAAGUAACGAUAAAGCGGGUGAAAAGCCCGCUCGCCGGAAGACCAAGGGUUCCUGUCCAACGUUAAUCGGGGCAGGGUGAGUCGACCCCUAAGGCGAGGCCGAAAGGCGUAGUCGAUGGGAAACAGGUUAAUAUUCCUGUACUUGGUGUUACUGCGAAGGGGGACGGAGAAGGCUAUGUUGGCCGGGCGACGGUUGUCCCGGUUUAAGCGUGUAGGCUGGUUUUCCAGGCAAAUCCGGAAAAUCAAGGCCGAGGCGUGAUGACGAGGCACUACGGUGCUGAAGCAACAAAUGCCCUGCUUCCAGGAAAAGCCUCUAAGCAUCAGGUAACAUCAAAUCGUACCCCAAACCGACACAGGUGGUCAGGUAGAGAAUACCAAGGCGCUUGAGAGAACUCGGGUGAAGGAACUAGGCAAAAUGGUGCCGUAACUUCGGGAGAAGGCACGCUGAUACGUAGGUGAAGCGACUUGCUCGUGGAGCUGAAAUCAGUCGAAGAUACCAGCUGGCUGCAACUGUUUAUUAAAAACACAGCACUGUGCAAACACGAAAGUGGACGUAUACGGUGUGACGCCUGCCCGGUGCCGGAAGGUUAAUUGAUGGGGUUAGCGCAAGCGAAGCUCUUGAUCGAAGCCCCGGUAAACGGCGGCCGUAACUAUAACGGUCCUAAGGUAGCGAAAUUCCUUGUCGGGUAAGUUCCGACCUGCACGAAUGGCGUAAUGAUGGCCAGGCUGUCUCCACCCGAGACUCAGUGAAAUUGAACUCGCUGUGAAGAUGCAGUGUACCCGCGGCAAGACGGAAAGACCCCGUGAACCUUUACUAUAGCUUGACACUGAACAUUGAGCCUUGAUGUGUAGGAUAGGUGGGAGGCUUUGAAGUGUGGACGCCAGUCUGCAUGGAGCCGACCUUGAAAUACCACCCUUUAAUGUUUGAUGUUCUAACGUGGACCCGUGAUCCGGGUUGCGGACAGUGUCUGGUGGGUAGUUUGACUGGGGCGGUCUCCUCCUAAAGAGUAACGGAGGAGCACGAAGGUUGGCUAAUCCUGGUCGGACAUCAGGAGGUUAGUGCAAUGGCAUAAGCCAGCUUGACUGCGAGCGUGACGGCGCGAGCAGGUGCGAAAGCAGGUCAUAGUGAUCCGGUGGUUCUGAAUGGAAGGGCCAUCGCUCAACGGAUAAAAGGUACUCCGGGGAUAACAGGCUGAUACCGCCCAAGAGUUCAUAUCGACGGCGGUGUUUGGCACCUCGAUGUCGGCUCAUCACAUCCUGGGGCUGAAGUAGGUCCCAAGGGUAUGGCUGUUCGCCAUUUAAAGUGGUACGCGAGCUGGGUUUAGAACGUCGUGAGACAGUUCGGUCCCUAUCUGCCGUGGGCGCUGGAGAACUGAGGGGGCUGCUCCUAGUACGAGAGGACCGGAGUGGACGCAUCACUGGUGUUCGGGUUGUCAUGCCAAUGGCACUGCCCGGUAGCUAAAUGCGGAAGAGAUAAGUGCUGAAAGCAUCUAAGCACGAAACUUGCCCCGAGAUGAGUUCUCCCUGACCCUUUAAGGGUCCUGAAGGAACGUUGAAGACGACGACGUUGAUAGGCCGGGUGUGUAAGCGCAGCGAUGCGUUGAGCUAACCGGUACUAAUGAACCGUGAGGCUUAACCUU